RNAcentral lists this ribosomal RNA (379 nucleotides) under uncultured bacterium. Its description in RNAcentral is "bacterial SSU rRNA". It matches the Rfam family "Bacterial small subunit ribosomal RNA", at positions 917 to 1322 of the family's 1533-position model. The record is from RNAcentral.
GGGCCCGCACAAGCGGCGGAGCAUGCGGAUUAAUUCGAUGCAACGCGAAGAACCUUACCAAGGCUUGACAUAUAGAGGAAAAGUGCAGAAAUGCACUCCCCGCAAGGUCUCUAUACAGGUGGUGCAUGGUUGUCGUCAGCUCGUGUCGUGAGAUGUUGGGUUAAGUCCCGCAACGAGCGCAACCCACGUCUUUAGUUGCCAGCAUUUAGUUGGGCACUCUAUGGAAACUGCCCGUGAUAAGCGGGAGGAAGGUGUGGAUGACGUCAAGUCCUCAUGGCCCUUACGGGUUGGGCUACACACGUGCUACAAUGGUAGUGACAAUGGGUUAAUCCCAAAAAGCUAUCUCAGUUCGGAUUGUCGUCUGCAACUCGACGGCAUG